Long non-coding RNA from Dendronephthya gigantea, 201 nucleotides. RefSeq lists it as uncharacterized. Lineage: Eukaryota; Metazoa; Cnidaria; Anthozoa; Malacalcyonacea; Nephtheidae. The record is from RefSeq and is a predicted model, not a curated record. The transcript has 3 exons.
CAGCUGGGGACAUUAAUAAUAUUGCCACAAUAUUAGAAAAAAUUGCCGCGGUGAAGGAAAAAAUGAACGAGACCUUUGAGGAUUCGCUCACCACAAUAGACAAUGUCCUGGAUGCAAGUGUGGAAGAAAUCUCAAAAAGCCAACACAACAAAAACACUUCCUCAAGGAUUGUUGAAACAUUAAAUAAUAUCGCAGAAGCAA